AACUGGCGCUGCUUACCAUGCAAGUCGAACGGUGAACACGGAGCUUGCUCUGUGGGAUCAGUGGCGAACGGGUGAGUAACACGUGAGCAACCUGCCCCUGACUCUGGGAUAAGCGCUGGAAACGGCGUCUAAUACUGGAUAUGUGACGUGACCGCAUGGUCUGCGUCUGGAAAGAAUUUCGGUUGGGGAUGGGCUCGCGGCCUAUCAGCUUGUUGGUGAGGUAAUGGCUCACCAAGGCGUCGACGGGUAGCCGGCCUGAGAGGGUGACCGGCCACACUGGGACUGAGACACGGCCCAGACUCCUACGGGAGGCAGCAGUGGGGAAUAUUGCACAAUGGGCGCAAGCCUGAUGCAGCAACGCCGCGUGAGGGACGACGGCCUUCGGGUUGUAAACCUCUUUUAGCAGGGAAGAAGCGAAAGUGACGGUACCUGCAGAAAAAGCGCCGGCUAACUACGUGCCAGCAGCCGCGGUAAUACGUAGGGCGCAAGCGUUAUCCGGAAUUAUUGGGCGUAAAGAGCUCGUAGGCGGUUUGUCGCGUCUGCUGUGAAAUCCGGAGGCUCAACCUCCGGCCUGCAGUGGGUACGGGCAGACUAGAGUGCGGUAGGGGAGAUUGGAAUUCCUGGUGUAGCGGUGGAAUGCGCAGAUAUCAGGAGGAACACCGAUGGCGAAGGCAGAUCUCUGGGCCGUAACUGACGCUGAGGAGCGAAAGGGUGGGGAGCAAACAGGCUUAGAUACCCUGGUAGUCCACCCCGUAAACGUUGGGAACUAGUUGUGGGGUCCAUUCCACGGAUUCCGUGACGCAGCUAACGCAUUAAGUUCCCCGCCUGGGGAGUACGGCCGCAAGGCUAAAACUCAAAGGAAUUGACGGGGACCCGCACAAGCGGCGGAGCAUGCGGAUUAAUUCGAUGCAACGCGAAGAACCUUACCAAGGCUUGACAUAUACGAGAA
Molecule: ribosomal RNA, 949 nt
Filed under: Microbacterium maritypicum
Lineage: Bacteria; Bacillati; Actinomycetota; Actinomycetes; Micrococcales; Microbacteriaceae
Description: bacterial SSU rRNA
Rfam family: Bacterial small subunit ribosomal RNA
Source: RNAcentral